This 447-nucleotide ribosomal RNA is filed under the name uncultured Mollicutes bacterium. RNAcentral describes it as "bacterial SSU rRNA". It matches the Rfam family "Bacterial small subunit ribosomal RNA", at positions 933 to 1382 of the family's 1533-position model. Lineage: Bacteria; Bacillati; Mycoplasmatota; Mollicutes. The record is from RNAcentral.
UGGAGUAUGUUGUUUAAUUCGAAGAUACACGAAGAACCUUAACCAGGUCUUGACAUACCAUUGACAGGCGCAGAGAUGUGCUCUCCUUCGGGCAAUGGAUACAGGUGGUGCAUGGUUGUCGUCAGCUCGUGCCGUGAGGUGUUGGGUUAAGUCCCGCAACGAGCGCAACCCUCAUUGUUAGUUACUACCAUUCAGUUGAGGACUCUAAUGAGACUGCCAACGAUAAGUUGGAGGAAGGUGGGGAUGACGUCAAAUCAUCAUGCCCUUUAUGACCUGGGCUACAAACGUACUACAAUGGCCAAUACAAAGAGAUGCGAAGCGGUGACGUGGAGCGAACCUCAGAAAGUUGGUCUCAGUUCAGAUUGAAGUCUGCAACUCGACUUCAUGAAGGCGGAAUCGCUAGUAAUCGCGGGUCAGCAGACCGCGGUGAAUACGUUCCCGGGUUUU